UCUGCUUUCUGCUUUAGGAGGCCACUGGUAAUUGGCAGUUGAUACCGAUUAGGUUUAGCUCCCUGUACUGUGGGCCUGUUGUGAUCAGGAACAAUGCCGGUCCGGUGGCUGAAGCUUGGAGAACUUUCCAGUUCAUCAGCCCCAUUAUCACCUACAUGCGUGGGGGAUCCCAGCAGGUGGUGGUGAGGAUGCACCAUGCGAGUAGGGUUCGAGGCCUGGAGACUCAACUGAUGUGGGCCAUCUCCAAGGAGACAAACAUAC
Long non-coding RNA from Coregonus clupeaformis (lake whitefish), 261 nucleotides. RefSeq lists it as uncharacterized. The record is from RefSeq and is a predicted model, not a curated record. NCBI's taxonomy places the organism in Eukaryota, Metazoa, Chordata, Actinopteri, Salmoniformes, Salmonidae. The transcript is spliced from 3 exons.